UCCCUGUUACCAGGGCAGUCUGAUUAGAAAAAUUCAACUAAUCACAAGGGUUGCGCUCGUUGAUGGACUUAACCAAACAUCUCACGACACGAGCUGACGACGGCCAUGCAACACCUGUCACUUGGUUCCGAAGCACUUUCUGCUUUCGCAGAAAUUCCAAGGAUGUCAAGCCUGGGUAAGGUUCUUCGCUUAUCAUCGAAUUAAACAACACGCUCCACCGCUUGUGCGGGUCCCCGUCAAUUCCUUUAUGUUUUAAGCUUGCGCUCGUACUCCACAGGCGGGAUGCUUAACGCGUUAGCUUCGCUACAAGGAGGGUCGAUACUCCUUACAGCUAGCAUCCAUCGUUUACGGCGUGGACUAC
Molecule: unclassified non-coding RNA, 361 nt
Filed under: uncultured bacterium
Lineage: Bacteria
Description: contains 16S-23S intergenic spacer region
Source: RNAcentral